CCGCCUAGCGCCCGCCUAGGCCAUUUAUUCCGUAAUAUUAACAAUAUGAGUGAGUGUGUUCAAGGAUUUAACUUGUAAAGAAGAUUUCUGAACAACAACAGAUAACCCAGAGAAGUUUCAUGGAGUUAUCACAAUGGUGGCUCUUGGCCAACACUGCUGUGGUUGCUUACUGCAGCAUGUAUCAAGACGGGGAGGCCUCAGACUGCUAAGAGAGCAAUUGAACAGGUGGAGCAGCGGCUCUCAAAAGACGGGUGGCCAGAAUACUAUGACGGCAAGGCAGGGAGAUAUAUCGGGAAGCAAGCGAGGAAGUACCAGACCUGGAGCAUCUCAGGAUAUCUGGUAGCUAAACUGAUGAUCGAGAACCCAGCCAAUCUUUCAGUAAUCCCUUUUGAAGAGGACAAGAAGAUAGCCAAGCCAAGGCUCACACGCUCCGCUUCCUUUUGAGUCAAACCAGUGGCAGCAGCAUACAUGAUGCAUUACAGGAAAUUUGUUGAAGUUGAUAUGAGGAAGUUCACAUUACUAGCAAAGGGUAGCUACGUCCUCAUCAUCACCAUCUUCCUCACACCCAUCUUGGACGUCUCCUCAUGUUUUACUUAGUGAUGCAAGGAGUUCAAUACAUCAAGGAGUUUUGUAAUUGUGAACUUUUGUUCUUUAUACUAUCCUGUUCUAUUUUGUUGUGCAUAAUGGAUGAACUCAAUAUUUUUCAGAGAGGAACAAUUAAGAGAUAAAGCUGUGAAGCAUUUAAGGUAUAUACAUUAC
Prunus avium (sweet cherry) is the source of this 759-nucleotide non-coding RNA. The record is from RefSeq and is a predicted model, not a curated record. Lineage: Eukaryota; Viridiplantae; Streptophyta; Magnoliopsida; Rosales; Rosaceae.